ACGCAUCACCAGUUUCGUUGGUGGAGACAUUCAUACUAAAACUUGAUGAGUACACACCAGGUCUUUUGCAGCUUAUGCGUGCCAAAGGAGGAGCUGCUGGUUCCAAGAUGAGACCUCUGCUGGACACUUUGAAUGACACACAAAGCAUUGAGAAGAAAAGGGAUCUCCUUAUCUGCUGCCUCAUUAGCUACCUCGGGGAAAGACAAGAAGAUCUUUUUUCAUGACUGCCAGGAAUGUGAGGAUUACACAGACAAUAUGAUGAAGGUGAUCGUGAUCCACAACAUCAUGGCUGAGGAGGAUCCAUCAGAUGUGUCCAUUGCGAUUGAGGGAAACCAAGUGAUGGAGGGAUGUGGAAGCCGAACAAAGGCAUGUGUACUGCUGAUGGGACUGAUAUAUGCCCUCAACCUCGAAUAUCCGAAGGAGCUGAAGAACACAUUUGAUAGUUUUCAAAAACUUUUUUUGGAACUUGACGGAGCCAAACUACUGAAAAAGGUCCACGGCCUCAAAAAUAAGCUUCUGCAAUGCACACACAUUUCCCCUCUUGUUCCAAGAGAAUCUUUUGUCCAGACAUAGCUUGAUGGAGCUGUAAUUUUUCUUCUGACAG
This is a long non-coding RNA of Oreochromis niloticus (Nile tilapia), 604 nucleotides long. RefSeq lists it as uncharacterized. NCBI's taxonomy places the organism in Eukaryota, Metazoa, Chordata, Actinopteri, Cichliformes, Cichlidae. The transcript is spliced from 3 exons. The record is from RefSeq and is a predicted model, not a curated record.